This 670-nucleotide ribosomal RNA is filed under the name Actinopolyspora sp. YIM 90617. Its description in RNAcentral is "bacterial SSU rRNA". It matches the Rfam family "Bacterial small subunit ribosomal RNA", at positions 41 to 707 of the family's 1533-position model. The record is from RNAcentral. Lineage: Bacteria; Bacillati; Actinomycetota; Actinomycetes; Actinopolysporales; Actinopolysporaceae.
GGCGCGCUUCACACAUGCAAGUCGAGCGAUGGCGCCGGUUUUCGGAUCGGUGUGCAGAGCGGCGGACGGGUGAGUAACACGUGAGUAACCUGCCCUGGGCGUGGGGAUAACCCUGGGAAACUGGGGCUAAUACCGGAUGGCCCUGCCUAUUCGCAUGGAUGGGUGGGGAAAGGUUCAUCUUCGUAAGGGGGUGUUCCGGCUUGGGAGGGGCUCGCGGCCCAUCAGCUUGUUGGUGCGGUGAGGGCGUACCAAGGCGAUGACGGGUAGCCGGCCUGAGAGGGUGAUCGGCCACACUGGGACUGAGACACGGCCCAGACUCCUACGGGAGGCAGCAGUGGGGAAUUUUGCGCAAUGGGCGGAAGCCUGACGCAGCGACGCCGUGUGGGGGAGGACGGCCUUCGGGUUGUAAACCUCUUUCGGCCCUGACGAAUGUGACGGUAGGGGCUAAAGAAGCGCCGGCUAACUACGUGCCAGCAGCCGCGGUAAUACGUAGGGCGCGAGCGUUGUCCGGAUUUACUGGGCGUAAAGGGCUCGUAGGCGGUUUGUCGCGUCGGUCGUGGAAAUGUCUGGCUUAACUGGGCACGUGCGGCUGAUACGGGCAGACUCGAGGGCGGUAGGGGCAAGCGGAAUUCCUGGUGUAGCGGUGAAAUGCGCAGAUAUCAGGAGGAAC